Molecule: non-coding RNA, 2053 nt
Organism: Podarcis lilfordi (Lilford's wall lizard)
Lineage: Eukaryota; Metazoa; Chordata; Lepidosauria; Squamata; Lacertidae
Source: the annotation of a GenBank genome assembly
UUUGCACUUCUGAGUCAGGAAACCAAAAGCUCGCAAGAGGACGUGCCAGCAGACACAGCUGGGCCUGCGAGCUCAGCGCCUUCCAGAGCAGAAUACCGCUCUCAGCAUAUUGAGAGAGGGGCUCUUUCUCAGGACGCAAAGGAGACAAGGAGGCUGGGAGGAGAGAAAUGCUUUCUGCGUUCCGAAACGGCAUCUGGGGGGGGGGGAGGGGGAGUUCAACCCCCUCUCCACCCCCUACACCUGAUGUUCUGAGGUGUUUCAGAGCUGCACCACCAGAAGUCUUGUCAGCCCCCCGGAUAUCUGAAAGGCCGCAUCCUUCCCUGCAAGUUAAAAGGGUGGGCAAAUUUAUCAUUUUCCACUUCUCUCAGUUCCUCAUUUUUCCCACCUUAAGUUCUGUUUUCUGCAUUUCCAAAAAAGCUUGCCAUUUUUUUAUUUACAUAUAUUUUUAAAAGUCCUCAAGAGAAUUUCGUCAGCAUCAUAGUGCAAAUUUCUCCUGAUAAACAGUGGUACCUCAGGUUACAGCGCUUCAGGUUACAGACUCCGCUAACCCAGAAAUAGUACCUUGGGUUAAGAACUUUGCUUCAGGAUGAGAACAGAAAUCGUGCGGUGGGGGCGCUGCAGCAGCGGGAGGCCCCAUUAGCUAAAGUGGUGCUUCAGGUUAAGAACAGUUUCAGGUUAAGAACGGACUUCCAGAACGAAUUAAGUUCUUAACCCAAGGUACCACUGUACACAAUUUUUGUAUGCAAUUUUCCUUAAUACGCACAUUAUUGCAAAGAUGUUUCCCCAAAGAUAACGCAUGUUCGUAUACAAUUUUCACAAAAAUAAGCACUUUUAUGGACUCUUGACCCCAAUAUAUGCAUUUUCGGUCUCCUUUCUUGGCCGGAGAACUGCAUUGCAAAAUCUGGGGAAGUGUGAAUUUUGGAAGAUGGUUCUGUGUUCCAGUUCUCAUCUUGUUCUAAAAAGAAUUAGGUCGGCUCACCUUUAAAUGUGAACUGAAUCCAAUCUCUCCUCCAUCCCUGCUACAGGCCUUUUUUGAGCACUGAGAUAAGCAGAGUGGCCUGGUACAAUGGAUGCUUGGGUUGCGAACGUGAUCCGUGCGGGAUGCACGUUCGCAACCCACAGUGUUUGCAACCAGCAGCGGUGCGUCUGCACACGCGCGGGUUGCGAUUCGACACUUCUGAGCAUGCACAAAGCACAAUUUAGUGCUUUUGCGCAUGCACGACCGUGAAACCCGGAAGUAACCUGUUCCAGUACUUCCGGGUUUUGGCGGUCCGUAACCUGAAAAAACACAACCUGAAGCGUCUACAACCCGAGGUAUGACUGUACUUCUGCUGCCUUCAGAGGCUUGGCUGCUGGUGGCCCGGACAAGGGCAUUCUCUGGGGCAGUACCCAGAUUCUGGAAAGCCUUCCCUAGAGUGGUGUGUUGGGCUCCUUCACGGCAGAGCUUUCCAUCAUAUGCUUUGAAACAUUUUUAGGACUCAGGACUUGUAGCUGUAAAUUAUUUAAAUUGAUUUUAAUAUUGCAUUUUUAUAUCAUUGUAAUCUGGCCUCGGACCUUAUGAUGAAGAGUGGGUUAGAUAUUUGAUGAUGAUAAUAUCCAUCAAUCCAUGCAAGGGGACACACCAAACCUGAGGGGCCAACACAGAGAAGGUCCUUGCUCCUGCCCUAGUGAGGUAAUCCCAAGAAGGGCCUCUUACUGCUGUCAUCCAGCUGACAAAUUGACGCAGGAGAGCUGAGCUGAGCUUAUUUUUCUCUUCCCAUUAAGCGUUCCUUGAGAAAAGGUCAGCCACUUGGAAGCGGCUUCCAAGCUUUAACAGAUACAAGGCACUAAUCCCUUGUCUAAUUUUCCAUCUAGGUAGCUGCUGCUGGAUCUUUCCUAUUAUGAUGAUUAUUUAAUCCAGCCUGGAACCAGGCCUUCUUCACCCACAUGCUGGUCGGGGAAAAAAAAGCAGCCAGCACAAUUUAUCUUCAGCCAAACAAACUCAAAUCCAGCUGGGAGGCAUCAAAUCUGUCAAUGCCGAUAAGUUAUUAAUAACGGUGAAUGAUGACCGGAG